This 467-nucleotide ribosomal RNA is filed under the name uncultured bacterium. RNAcentral's name for it is "partial 16S ribosomal RNA". It matches the Rfam family "Bacterial small subunit ribosomal RNA", at positions 28 to 506 of the family's 1533-position model. The record is from RNAcentral.
GACGAACGCUGGCGGCGUGCUUAACACAUGCAAGUCGAACGGAAAGGCCCUGCUUUUGUGGGGUGCUCGAGUGGCGAACGGGUGAGUAACACGUGAGUAACCUGCCCUUGACUUUGGGAUAACUCCAGGAAACUGGGGCUAAUACCGGAUAGGAGCUCCUGCUGCAUGGUGGGGGUUGGAAAGUUUCGGCGGUUGGGGAUGGACUCGCGGCUUAUCAGCUUGUUGGUGGGGUAGUGGCUUACCAAGGCUUUGACGGGUAGCCGGCCUGAGAGGGUGACCGGCCACAUUGGGACUGAGAUACGGCCCAGACUCCUACGGGAGGCAACAGUGGGGAAUAUUGCACAAUGGGCGGAAGCCUGAUGCAGCAACGCCGCGUGCGGGAUGACGGCCUUCGGGUUGUAAACCGCUUUCGCCUGUGACGAAGCGUGAGUGACGGUAAUGGGGAAAGAAGCACCGGCUAACUACGU